UACGUAGGCAGCAAGCGUUGUUCGGAGUUACUGGGCGUAAAGGGUGUGUAGGCGGUUCUUUAAGUUUGGUGUGAAAUCUCCCGGCUCAACUGGGAGGGUGCGCCGAAUACUGAGGGACUAGAGUACGGGAGAGGAAAGUGGAAUUCCUGGUGUAGCGGUGAAAUGCGUAGAUAUCAGGAGGAACACCGGUGGCGAAGGCGGCAUCCUGGACCGGCAUUGACGCUGAGGAGCGAAAGCCAGGGGAGCAAACGGG
This 253-nucleotide ribosomal RNA is filed under the name uncultured bacterium. RNAcentral describes it as "partial 16S ribosomal RNA". It matches the Rfam family "Bacterial small subunit ribosomal RNA", at positions 524 to 776 of the family's 1533-position model. The record is from RNAcentral.